UGGGGAAUAUUGGGGCAAUGGGCGCAAGCCUGACCCAGCAACGCCGCGUGAAGGAAGAAGGCUUUCGGGUUGUAAACUUCUUUUAUUCGGGACGAUAAUGACGGUACCGAAUGAAUAAGCCACGGCUAACUACGUGCCAGCAGCCGCGGUAAUACGUAGGUGGCAAGCGUUAUCCGGAUUUACUGGGUGUAAAGGGCGUGUAGGCGGGACUGCAAGUCAGAUGUGAAAACUAUGGGCUCAACCCAUAGCCUGCAUUUGAAACUGUAGUUCUUGAGUACUGGAGAGGCAGGCGGAAUUCCGUGUGUAGCGGUGAAAUGCGUAGAUAUACGGAGGAACACCAGUGGCGAAGGCGGCCUGCUGGACAGCAACUGAUGCUGAGGCGCGAAAGCGUGGGGAGCAAACAGGAUUAGAUACC
This 415-nucleotide ribosomal RNA is filed under the name uncultured bacterium. RNAcentral's name for it is "bacterial SSU rRNA". It matches the Rfam family "Bacterial small subunit ribosomal RNA", at positions 355 to 786 of the family's 1533-position model. The record is from RNAcentral.